UUCAGGUAAAUCUUUAUCUGGUGGAGCAAUCGCUGCUAUUGUGAUUGGUGUCGUGAUUUUCUUUGUCAUACUGAUCGCUGUAAUUGUCUGGAUUGUGCGUGGCAAACGGCAGAGAAUCGCUCGUUAUAAUGACCUGGCAAUGAAUGACGACACUGACCCGCUCUGCUUUGAUUCUGAACCGAUAGCGUAAUUUGCACUUAAAUCAAAUAUUAACUGGGACGCUACCCUUAAAGAAAAUGAUUUGUUUAAGCCAGGAAUUUUCUUAAUUUAAUCAACAUUUCUUAAUUUCAUAAAGAAACCACGUUUUUGUCAAGACGGACGUCAGAUUGCCGAGGGAGAACUGGAUUAAAAACUUUGUUUGUAUCAGUUUGUGGUAAUCUUCAACACAUAUCACAAAACAUAAAAAUUUUUGAAAGUUUUUUUUCUUCCUUACACGAGCGCUCUGAUGCAAAAUGCCGCAAAAAUGAAUUAAAAGAGACCUUACGAUUUUAGGACGGCAACGCGACGACGACGGCCAAAACAACUCCUUCAAAUAAAUGGUAGUAAAGAUAAUUCGUCGUAUAUUAUCAAUCGUAUGAAUUUAAUACAGUUGUAGAAGUUGAAGACAUGGGUUUUAUAGUUGGGAAGAGUUCUGCUAAACCCAGUUUGAAGUUGUUGCGGCUUGAAAUGCAGCCGUUGUAUCAAGACGUCAAAAUCUGUGAUUUGGCGUUCUAAACAGAGCGAGGACAAUGUCUAAAUUAUUCAUAUAUUGUAAUUAUUCAAUUCUUUUCAAUGGUUUAUUGUAUAUUGGUAGCCGUUGCCGUCCUAAAAUCGUAAGGUCUCUAAACUGAUUUUCGUGUGAUGUCCGUGUUGACAAAAUUGUCACUGAUAGUGAAUUUCAUACUACAGAGAAGCCACAGUAUGAAUGAGACGGGAAAUAUGGCCAUUCUAAUAUGCAACUUUCGGUCUCGUUUUUUUCUUGUGCUCGAGGGAGCUGGGAUACCACGCAAACCCUCAAUUUGAUGUAGCGUUCCAGUUCAGCCUUUUAAGGUCGACACGGUGGGAAAUUGCGGUCACAAAUUAGUGAUAGUUAACUGAGCAUGCGUUGAUUGUACAUGCUGACGCGUAUAGUAAAAUAUCGAUGAAGCGAACAUACUGAUAAUUUCAAGAUAUAUUUUGGAUUUAUUGGUAGAAAUUUGAGGUAAAGAAAAGGCUAUAAGCCAGGAAACAAUAUUACGUGUCUCACGCAUAAAUUUUAAACGUACAAUUUGAGCUUUAUUUCGCCACAAAUAAGUCGAAAUAAAGCAGAGCAAAAAGCGCGGGAAAAUUCUGUACUGAGCCCGCGAUGCCAUACAAUGAAUACUCAGCGACAUGACUAUUUUUUUCUGCGCAACUUCCGGUCGUGUGUAAAUAGUUUUCAUUUUAUCGUUUUUGUAUAGUAUAUUAAUAUUGUGGAGUAGUAGGACAAACUUAAUGGAUUUUGACCGAUUGAAUUUAAAUUCUGUUGUAGAUUUAUUUAAUGUAUUUAUAUUAUGAAUAUAUGAUGCUUUGGGUAUUUUUAGAUAGUUUCUCAAGUAUAUAUUGUAAAAGCACUGCAUUGUUUGAUAAGAUCUUGAAUAAAUUUCCGAAACGAAUUCCUUCUUUAGGGACCGGUCAUUAUUUAUGGCGGGGGGUGGCACCGAAGAGAAAAGGGUUGGGUAAACAAAAUUUUGAGUGAGUAAAAGGUUGGGUAAAUGAAAAAAGAAACAGCUCAAGGGUUGGGUAAUAAAAAUUUAUUGUCAUUUCCAAAGCAUGACUCACUCAAAUAUUGAAGACUGAAAACGUCAAUGUCAACAGUCAUACGUCAAUACAAUAUGUGAAUCAAUCAGAGCAUAGACAAUCCAGAAGACAGUCCUUGAUUGUCUAUGCUCUGAUUGUCUGGCAUGUCUUCUGGAUUGGCUAUGAUCAGAGUCACUAUCUUGAUCAUUUUCCGAUUUGUUGGGAGACAAAUUAAUGGUGUCUCCAAAGAAAGUAGAUGUGCAGACAACAUGAAACUUUAGACUGGAGAAAAGUCAGUAAAUUUCACAAGCCGAACGUUAUCAAACUCGUGUCACAGAAGUGGUAAAGGACAUGUGUGACAACUGAAUGACAUCCUUUUGUAACGUUUUUGGCCAGGGGUGGGUAUUUAUUUUUUAAAUGAUACUUGAGGUUGGGUAAUCAAAUUUUUUAUUUUUUAAUGGUUGGGUCAGCAAAAUUUUUGGCACGAAAAACAUUUCUCUUCGGUGCCACCCCCCACCAUAAAUAAUGACCGGUCCCUUAUUAUUUUGCAUUCCUCAACGGCCAGAUACAUUUAAAGGCACAGUUCAGCCUUUUGAACGAUGGUUUUAAGGC
This is a non-coding RNA of Paramuricea clavata, 2349 nucleotides long. The record is from the annotation of a GenBank genome assembly. Lineage: Eukaryota; Metazoa; Cnidaria; Anthozoa; Malacalcyonacea; Plexauridae.